CAGUCGCCGCGGUAAUAUGGAGGGGGCUAGCGUUGUUCGGAAUUACUGGGCGUAAAGCGCACGUAGGCGGCUUGGUAAGUUAGAGGUGAAAGCCUGGAGCUCAACUCCAGAAUUGCCUUUAAGACUGCCGAGCUAGCAGGUGAGAGAGGUAAGUGGAAUUCCGAGUGUAGAGGUGAAAUUCGUAGAUAUUCGGAAGAACACCAGUGGCGAAGGCGGCUUACUGGCUCAUACUGGACGCUGAGGUGCGAAAGCGUGGGGAGCAAACAGGAUUAGAUACCCCUGUAGUCCCUGUCUCUUAUAC
This 301-nucleotide ribosomal RNA is filed under the name uncultured bacterium. Its description in RNAcentral is "partial 16S ribosomal RNA". It matches the Rfam family "Bacterial small subunit ribosomal RNA", at positions 509 to 807 of the family's 1533-position model. The record is from RNAcentral.